UACGUAAGGUCCGAGCGUUGUCCGGAAUCAUUGGGCGUAAAGGGUACGUAGGCGGAUAAGCAAGUUAGAAGUGAAAUCCUAUAGCUCAACUAUAGUAAGCUUUUAAAACUGCUCAUCUUGAGGUAUGGAAGGGAAAGUGGAAUUCCUAGUGUAGCGGUGAAAUGCGCAGAUAUUAGGAGGAAUACCGGUGGCGAAGGCGACUUUCUGGCCAUAAACUGACGCUGAGGUACGAAAGCGUGGGUAGCAAACAGGAUUAGAUA
This 260-nucleotide ribosomal RNA is filed under the name uncultured Eubacteriales bacterium. RNAcentral's name for it is "uncultured Clostridiales bacterium partial 16S ribosomal RNA". It matches the Rfam family "Bacterial small subunit ribosomal RNA", at positions 524 to 784 of the family's 1533-position model. Lineage: Bacteria; Bacillati; Bacillota; Clostridia; Eubacteriales. The record is from RNAcentral.